GUGGGGAAUAUUGCACAAUGGGCGCAAGCCUGAUGCAGCAACGCCGCGUGAGGGAUGACGGCCUUCGGGUUGUAAACCUCUUUUAGUAGGGAAGAAGCGUAAGUGACGGUACCUGCAGAAAAAGCACCGGCUAACUACGUGCCAGCAGCCGCGGUAAUACGUAGGGUGCAAGCGUUGUCCGGAAUUAUUGGGCGUAAAGAGCUCGUAGGCGGCUUGUCGCGUCUGCUGUGAAAACCCGAGGCUCAACCUCGGGCUUGCAGGGGGUACGGGCAGGCUAGAGUGCGGUAGGGGAGAUUGGAAUUCCUGGUGUAGCGGUGGAAUGCGCAGAUAUCAGGAGGAACACCGAUGGCGAAGGCAGAUCUCUGGGCCGUAACUGACGCUGAGGAGCGAAAGCAUGGGGAGCGAACAGGAUUAGAUACCCUAGUAGUCC
Molecule: ribosomal RNA, 430 nt
Filed under: uncultured bacterium
Lineage: Bacteria
Description: partial 16S ribosomal RNA
Rfam family: Bacterial small subunit ribosomal RNA
Source: RNAcentral